RNAcentral lists this ribosomal RNA (180 nucleotides) under Carpinus polyneura. RNAcentral's name for it is "5.8S ribosomal RNA". The stretch from base 5 to 160 matches the Rfam family "5.8S ribosomal RNA". From Rfam's summary of the family: 5.8S ribosomal RNA (5.8S rRNA) is a component of the large subunit of the eukaryotic ribosome. The record is from RNAcentral. Lineage: Eukaryota; Viridiplantae; Streptophyta; Magnoliopsida; Fagales; Betulaceae.
UAACGACUCUCGGCAACGGAUAUCUCGGCUCUCGCAUCGAUGAAGAACGUAGCGAAAUGCGAUACUUGGUGUGAAUUGCAGAAUCCCGCGAAUCAUCGAGUCUUUGAACGCAAGUUGCGCCCGAAGCCAUCUGGUCGAGGGCACGUCUGCCUGGGUGUCACGCAUCGUCGCCCCCAACCC